RNAcentral lists this ribosomal RNA (496 nucleotides) under uncultured bacterium. Its description in RNAcentral is "partial 16S ribosomal RNA". It matches the Rfam family "Bacterial small subunit ribosomal RNA", at positions 28 to 506 of the family's 1533-position model. The record is from RNAcentral.
GAUGAACGCUGGCGGCGUGCCUAAUACAUGCAAGUCGAGCGAACGGACGAGAAGCUUGCUUCUCUGAUGUUAGCGGCGGACGGGUGAGUAACACGUGGAUAACCUACCUAUAAGACUGGGAUAACUUCGGGAAACCGUAGCUAAUACCGGAUAAUAUUUUGAACCGCAUGGUUCAAAAGUGAAAGACGGUCUUGCUGUCACUUAUAGAUGGAUCCGCACUGCAUUAGCUAGUUGGUAAGGUAACGGCUUACCAAGGCAACGAUGCAUAGCCGACCUGAGAGGGUGAUCGGCCACACUGGAACUGAGACACGGUCCAGACUCCUACGGGAGGCAGCAGUAGGGAAUCUUCCGCAAUGGGCGAAAGCCUGACGGAGCAACGCCGCGUGAGUGAUGAAGGUCUUCGGAUCGUAAAACUCUGUUAUUAGGGAAGAACAUAUGUGUAAGUAACUGUGCACAUCUUGACGGUACCUAAGCAGAAAGCCACGGCUAACUACGU